GCACUGCUGAGGAGUCCCAUACCAGGACGAAACGCCCGUCCGGUGC
This is a non-coding RNA of Schistosoma margrebowiei, 46 nucleotides long. The record is from Rfam. NCBI's taxonomy places the organism in Eukaryota, Metazoa, Platyhelminthes, Trematoda, Strigeidida, Schistosomatidae.